UACGGAGGGUGCAAGCGUUGUCCGGAUUUAUUGGGUUUAAAGGGUGCGUAGGCGGUUCUUUAAGUCAGUGGUGAAAGCCUCCAGCUUAACUGGAGAAAUGCCAUUGAUACUGAAGAACAUGAGUACAGACGAGGUAGGCGGAAUUGACAGUGUAGCGGUGAAAUGCAUAGAUAUUGUCAAGAACACCGAUUGCGAAGGCAGCUUACUAGACUGUAACUGACGCUGAGGCACGAAAGUGCGGGGAUCAAACAGG
Molecule: ribosomal RNA, 253 nt
Filed under: uncultured bacterium
Lineage: Bacteria
Description: partial 16S ribosomal RNA
Rfam family: Bacterial small subunit ribosomal RNA
Source: RNAcentral